Xiphophorus couchianus (Monterrey platyfish) is the source of this 1105-nucleotide long non-coding RNA. RefSeq lists it as uncharacterized. The transcript is spliced from 4 exons. The record is from RefSeq and is a predicted model, not a curated record. Lineage: Eukaryota; Metazoa; Chordata; Actinopteri; Cyprinodontiformes; Poeciliidae.
GAAUUAUUCUGUGUAUAUAAAUAUAAAUUAAUGAAUAUAUUAAAGAUUGUUUUGUGAAUAUUGUAACUGUUAACUGCUAUGGCAGUUGUCUGUUAUUUUACUGUUUUGUGUUGUUGGAUGUUAUUUUUGGAAUAAGAAUGCUUUGUUUUUGAGGAAUUGUCAACUGUUUUACUGUUUUAAAAUCUAUACGAUCACAUCUAAAAAAAAGAAAGAAAAAUAAAGAAUUCUGAGGGAUGCUGGUGGAGCUGUGGGACCACUUGGAUGCAGUCAGAAGUCACAUUGUGAAGAAUGUUUCAUUCUGUGUCAUACUAAAAGGUGACAAGCAACCAAGCGAGGAAGGCUACAUUGGUGCCGUGACGAACAAGGAAGGUUACACCUGAGACUAGUGGAUGGCUAAGAGACCUUGUCGCUGGAAUCGAAUGUGGCAUGUGCAGGCUUUCUUGGGGCCGGGAUCAACAGAGGGCGUCAUGGGGCUGGGAUAGACUAAGGUACUGGGAGGCAUGACACUAUUGGCCCUCAUUUAGUGAAAUAGCGUGUCAAGAUUUUACCAGCACCAGAAAAAAGACUUGUAAUAAAACCGCCUCUCUUUUUCUGGUGCUUUUUAAGCUGACUUACAAGACACAACACGAUUAUGUCAUCGACUACCUGAUGCUCCAUGAAAGCCAGCGUCCAUCCAGCAGAACAGCCCAAGGUUUUAGUUAGGUCCCUGAAAACCUUUUUGGCCAGGCUUGGAGGCCAUUUCUGCUGGAUUUCAAAUGGCUGUCCCUCAAUGCUAGCCCAGAUUUUGUUGACAAUGCGUUCCUGUGCCUCUUUCAGGUACUUAAGACAGCAACAUGUCUUAGACUCCCUGAUGCCUCGACACAUCAACGACUUCACAAAAAGUCGUAUUGUGUCUUUUCUGUCAUGGUUUGAGUCUUCUGUGCGUUUAUUUUUGAGUUUCUGUGUCUCUGAGCCUCUGUGUUGUCCUAUGUCCCCUUGAUUAUUCUCAGGUGUGUCUCAUUCCCUUCUCUUGUGUAUUCCUCAUAGGACUUUCUCAGUGCUUCAAUUUUACGUCUCAUCGUUAUCAGUUCUUGGACAAUACUGAUAACAGGUUGCACCAAAGAAC